RNAcentral lists this transfer RNA (73 nucleotides) under Bos taurus (domestic cattle). It matches the Rfam family "tRNA". From Rfam's summary of the family: Transfer RNA (tRNA) molecules are approximately 80 nucleotides in length. RNAcentral also lists the same sequence under 2 other names. Lineage: Eukaryota; Metazoa; Chordata; Mammalia; Artiodactyla; Bovidae. The record is from Rfam by way of RNAcentral.
UCCUUGGUGGUCCAGUGGUUGGGACUCUGUGCCUCCGAUGCAGGGGGCACAGGUUUGAUCCCUGGUCAGGGAG